GCCUUUUUGGUGUAACGGUAACACACUCGGCGGGUAUUCGAGAGGUCCAGGUUCGAGUCCCGACGAGGGCA
This 71-nucleotide transfer RNA is filed under the name Stegodyphus mimosarum. It matches the Rfam family "tRNA". Rfam says of the family: Transfer RNA (tRNA) molecules are approximately 80 nucleotides in length. Their secondary structure includes four short double-helical elements and three loops (D, anti-codon, and T loops). Further hydrogen bonds mediate the characteristic L-shaped molecular structure. tRNAs have two regions of fundamental functional importance: the anti-codon, which is responsible for specific mRNA codon recognition, and the 3' end, to which the tRNAs corresponding amino acid is attached (by aminoacyl-tRNA synthetases). tRNAs cope with the degeneracy of the genetic code in two manners: having more than one tRNA (with a specific anti-codon) for a particular amino acid; and 'wobble' base-pairing, i.e. permitting non-standard base-pairing at the 3rd anti-codon position. The record is from Rfam by way of RNAcentral. Lineage: Eukaryota; Metazoa; Arthropoda; Arachnida; Araneae; Eresidae.